GAUGAACGCUGGCGGCGUGCCUAAUACAUGCAAGUCGAGCGAACAGACGAGGAGCUUGCUCCUCUGACGUUAGCGGCGGACGGGUGAGUAACACGUGGAUAACCUACCUAUAAGACUGGGAAACUUUGGGAAACCGGAGCUAAUUCCGGAAAAUAUAUUUAACCGCAUGGUUUAAUAGUUAAAGACGGUUUUGCUGUUACCUAUUGAUGGAUCCGCGCCGCAUUAGCUAGUUGGUAAGGUAACGGCUUACCAAGGCAACGAUGCGUAGCCGACCUGAGAGGGUGAUCGGCCACACUGGAACUGAGACACGGUCCAGACUCCUACGGGAGGCAGCAGUAGGGAAUCUUCCGCAAUGGGCGAAAGCCUGACGGAGCAACGCCGCGUGAGUGAUGAAGGUCUUCGGAUCGUAAAACUCUGUUAUUAGGGAAGAACAAAUGUGUAAGUAACUAUGCACGUCUUGACGGUACCUAAUCAGAAAGCCACGGCUAACUACGUG
RNAcentral lists this ribosomal RNA (496 nucleotides) under uncultured bacterium. Its description in RNAcentral is "partial 16S ribosomal RNA". It matches the Rfam family "Bacterial small subunit ribosomal RNA", at positions 28 to 507 of the family's 1533-position model. The record is from RNAcentral.